UUAAGUUCAGCGGGUAGUCUCACCCGAUUUGAGGUCAAGAUUCGUGCGCCGAGCAAGCUCGAACGAUGUCUCUCACGAGACGGUUGGAAGCAGGUUCCCAGUGAACAGAGCAAAUCCCAAGACGUAGAAACAUCUUAUCACGCCUGGGGAUUGGCAAAGGGGACCCCACUAAUGCAUUUAAGAGGAGCCGACUUUUUGCA
Molecule: unclassified non-coding RNA, 200 nt
Filed under: Agaricomycetes sp.
Lineage: Eukaryota; Fungi; Basidiomycota; Agaricomycetes
Description: partial internal transcribed spacer 2
Source: RNAcentral